GGCCAGUUUGACUCGUUUUUAUAGUUUACACACUUUUGUAUUACCCCUUCUUACUGCUGUAUUUAUGUUAAUGCAUUUUUCAAUGAUACGUAAGCAAGGUAUUUCGGGCCCUUUAUAG
Molecule: transfer RNA, 118 nt
Filed under: Casearia ulmifolia
Lineage: Eukaryota; Viridiplantae; Streptophyta; Magnoliopsida; Malpighiales; Salicaceae
Source: RNAcentral